Gasterosteus aculeatus aculeatus (three-spined stickleback) is the source of this 2209-nucleotide long non-coding RNA. NCBI's taxonomy places the organism in Eukaryota, Metazoa, Chordata, Actinopteri, Perciformes, Gasterosteidae. The record is from Ensembl.
UUUGAAGUCAAAGAAAUACAACUUUAUUUAAGUGUAAACAAAAAAACAAAUGGAAAAUAACUGCAUAGGAAAUGUUUAAAGUCCACAGAGUACAGAGACAGCAGCAGGGGGCCAAAAUAUUAUAGUCUCCUCCGACUUUAGACUGAAGACCUGACACCUGCACUACAACUCAGCAGGAAGUGUGAGUGUGUUUGAAGAGGGGGGGGGGGGGGGAUACAUUCAGUGGAUUUCUGCUCAAAACAUCACGGAUGCAGCGCACAAACACAAAAAUCCACACUGCGCACAACCGGCUGCCGGCAGGACGCGACAACGCGACACAAUACGACAACGCGACACAACGCAAAACCCAACCCGUCUGGACGCGGUGAGCAAAAGGCCCCCGGCUGGUUUACAGGACGUGUCCCACCUCACACUCACACAACGGCUGCUGGGGGACAAUUGGCCCCAAAAGCAGAGGGGGAGUGUUGUGUGUUGUGUGUGUGUGCGUUUUGUGCCAGCAGCUGGUUGGCGAGAGUGAGCAUCCACGUGAUCUCACUGAACCCUUUUCUUCACAAAAUACAUUCUAAAAGGGCCAGUGAACGUCAGGCGGUCAAGUGUUUGUACUUUAAUUUGAAAAAGAAAGUAUAAUUGGCAAAAAACAUUUUUUUUUUAGGAAAUAACCCAAAUUAAUCAGGGAAACCAAUCAAAAUAAUUGUUUCAUAUUUAGAUAAUUUGUUUUAUAAUAUGUAAAUGAGCACACAAAAUAAUUAGACUAGUAAUGGGAGGUCAUCACGUGGGGGGGGGGGGUCACUACGUCAUCACUACGGGACACUUUUCAAUAAGACACCUGCUGAGAACUACCUGAGUUUUUUACUUUUUUUUUUUUUCUCCUUUCUAAAUUUUCGGAUUUUUUUUUGUCUUUUUUCUUUUCAUCUUUCCGUCUCCGGAGUUCACAAUCGUUAAGAGGAGGUCUACGACCUUGAACACGUCACCUGGUGCAGCUUCGUCUCUUAAAGCCUUUGUGAGGCUUCUGAGGCCAGCAAUAAAAAUAAAACAAAAAAAUGUUUAAAAAAAAAAAAAGGAAAGGGGGUUGGAGCGUUCCCGCCACGAGGUCACGACCUCCUGGCGGGUUCGCAGCAGCUCGUCUGCGCUCAGCAGGGAGGAGAAGGAGCAGGUUGAGUCAUAGAAGCACUGACGGCUUUUUUCCGUGUGCGGCCGGCUGAACAGGUUCGUGCUCCGGAGAACAGGAAAUACAAAAUCGGCAGAGGUCAAAAGGUUAAUCCCAUCCAACGCAAUCCGAGCACGCGCACAUCUUUGGGUAAACAUUUUGGCGAAACCGUCCCCGCUGACGGCUUCCAACCCCGAGUUUUUUCUUUUUUCAACACCGGUCUGAGCGACGUCAAUACAAUACAAGGACUUUUUAAAGCAUGCAACAAAAUGAAAAACAAAUUUAAAAAAAAGAAUUUAAAAUACAUUUUCCCCCCCUCUUUAAGAGUGAAGACCUUAGAUCUUAAAGAUAUAAUUCUGCUAUUUUAAUAAAAUAAAAAAAAACAGAUGCAAACAUUUCAGAGUAACACUGAAAAGCCAAAGACAAUCUUACUGGUGGAACUGAACUGAAGUGUUUUCGGCUUCAAAGCAGCUGGUCUGUGGAAUCAAACUGGCUCCCUGUCAACGCGCCGACAGCUGCACCUCAAUAACGCGCCGCGGGGCCGCGGCCCUACGACGCGGCGCCGCCCAAAGGUCACCGAAUGAAAGAUGCGUAACUUGUGCUGAAGUCGGAGGUGGUUCUUGUGCAUUAAGAAGGCGGAUUCGUGAAGUUCUCAUCUCUUUAAAAGAGGCCACCUCCUCUUGCCCUCAGCCCACAGAUGCAGCACAAGUGGAAUUUUUCAUCAUCAUCAUCAUAUGUUUGAGGUAAAAGAUAAAUUGGGCCCAGCCCUCUUAAGUGCAUCAAUCAGAGAGACAGAGCGAGGCAGAGGAGAUGCAUCCUCGGCCGCUCUGAUUUAACAUCUGCACCCGUGGCAAAAUGGUCCAGCGAGGUUCGCCGUCCCUCGCGGCCCCCGACGCUCCGCCCUGUUUGGCACGGAACGCUCACAGAUCAUUUUGGCACAAUGCUUUCAUCUGAAAUAUUUGGUUUCUUGACGAUAAAAAAAAAAGGCAAAGUUCAGCAGACACUUUCCAGUAGAUCCGAUUAAACCGAAAGCCGCUCAGAAAAAACAGAAAUGUGACUUGC